AGUGAACGCUGGCGGUAGGCCUAACACAUGCAAGUCGAACGGCAGCACAGUAAGAGCUUGCUCUUACGGGUGGCGAGUGGCGGACGGGUGAGGAAUACAUCGGAAUCUACUUUUUCGUGGGGGAUAACGUAGGGAAACUUACGCUAAUACCGCAUACGACCUACGUGUUAAAGCAGGGGAUCUUCUGACCUUUCGCGAUUGAAUGAGCCGAUUUCGGAUUAGCUAGUUGGCGUGGUAAAGUCCCACCAAGGCUACGAUCCGUAGCUGGUCUGAGAGGAUGAUCAGCCACAAUGGAACUGAGACACGGUCCAGACUUCUAAGGGAGGCAGCAGUGGGGAAUAUUGGACAAUGGGCGCAAGACUGGUCCAGGCAAACCGGGUGGGUGAAGAAGGGCUUUGGGUUGUAAAGGCCUUUUGUUGGGAAAGAAAAGAAGGAGGUUAAUACCCCGCUGUUCUGAAGGUAACCAAAGAAUAAGCACCGGCUAAAUUCGUGC
RNAcentral lists this ribosomal RNA (493 nucleotides) under uncultured bacterium. RNAcentral's name for it is "partial 16S ribosomal RNA". It matches the Rfam family "Bacterial small subunit ribosomal RNA", at positions 29 to 508 of the family's 1533-position model. The record is from RNAcentral.